RNAcentral lists this long non-coding RNA (811 nucleotides) under Cricetulus griseus (Chinese hamster). Its description in RNAcentral is "lncRNA (ENSCGRG00015028983.1)". The record is from RNAcentral. Lineage: Eukaryota; Metazoa; Chordata; Mammalia; Rodentia; Cricetidae.
UACAGCUUCCCCUACAAUAUCUCUUGAGUAAAGUGGGAACUGGAGUGUCAUAGAAGAGUGAGGAGGCGAGAAGAGAAAGGGCAGGAGAACAUGAUGGAUAUGGGAGGUCAGAUUGAAGGAAGGAAAGAGAGGCGGGGCAAAGAAAGAUAAACCUUGAUAGAGGGAGUCACUAGGGGGUUAGUGAGAAACCUGAGACUAGAGAAAUUCCCAUCAAUCAACAAGGAUGAACCCAGCUAAGAGUCUAAGGAAUAGUGGAGAGGGUACUUUCCUUGUGCUUCUUCUGUAAUCAGAUUGAUGACUACCUUUAUUGUCAUAAAAGAACCUUCAAGCAGGAACUGAUGGAAGCAGAUGCAAAGAUCCACAGACAGGGGCCUGUCCUGCAACUCACUUUGAGGACCAGGCUGUCUUAAACUCACAGAGAUCUGCCUUCCUCUGCCUCCUGAGUGCUGGGAUUAAAGACAUGCACCACCACUGUCUGGUGAAAGCUGGGCUGGCUGGUCAAAGGUGAAGUCUCAUGGCCUGGCAACAACAUGGAAACUUCCUCCCUCUCCAGAAAAUCUUCCUGCUUCUACCUGCUGUUGUCUGGAGAAUGUCCUUGAGUCUGGAGGACAGACCUUAUCUGAAAGUUGUCUCUGACCCAGAUCCCUGAUUUAUCCUUAACUGGAAACCUGGCACGGAUUUCUGUUAGAAGACUUGUACUAGGAGCUCUGCUAUAGGUUUCUGAUAUCAGCCUACCACUUGUUGCAAAUGAAGUCUUGUCCUUAGGCUCCUCAGUCCUAUAUAUUCCUUAUGUUAUAGAAUAAAGUUGAGA